This 457-nucleotide ribosomal RNA is filed under the name uncultured bacterium. RNAcentral's name for it is "partial 16S ribosomal RNA". It matches the Rfam family "Bacterial small subunit ribosomal RNA", at positions 338 to 795 of the family's 1533-position model. The record is from RNAcentral.
CCUACGGGUGGCUGCAGUGGGGAAUAUUGCACAAUGGGGGAAACCCUGAUGCAGCGACGCCGCGUGAGUGAAGAAGUAUUUCGGUAUGUAAAGCUCUAUCAGCAGGGAAGAAAUAGCGACCUUUGGGUCGCCAGACGGUACCUGAUUAAGAAGCCCCGGCUACCUACGUGCCAGCAGCCGCGGUAAUACGUAGGGGGGAAGCGUUAUGCGGUUUUAUUGGGUUUAAGGGGUGCGCAGGGGGAAGAUCAAGUCAGCGGUAAAAUGUAGAGGCUCAACCUCUUCGAGCCGUUGAAACUGGUAUUCUUGAGUGAGUGAGAAGUAUGCGGAAUGCGUGGUGUAGCGGUGAAAUGCAUAGAUAUCACGAAGAACACCGAUUGCGAAGGCAGCAUACCGGCGCUCAACUGACGCUCAUGCACGAAAGUGUGGGUAUCGAACAGGAUUAGAUACCCUUGUAGUC